RNAcentral lists this ribosomal RNA (486 nucleotides) under uncultured bacterium. Its description in RNAcentral is "partial 16S ribosomal RNA". It matches the Rfam family "Bacterial small subunit ribosomal RNA", at positions 30 to 507 of the family's 1533-position model. The record is from RNAcentral.
AUUGAACGCUGGCGGCAUGCCUUACACAUGCAAGUCGAACGGCAGCACGGGUGCUUGCACCUGGUGGCGAGUGGCGAACGGGUGAGUAAUACAUCGGAACAUGUCCUGUAGUGGGGGAUAGCCCGGCGAAAGCCGGAUUAAUACCGCAUACGAUCCACGGAUGAAAGCGGGGGACCUUCGGGCCUCGCGCUAUAGGGUUGGCCGAUGGCUGAUUAGCUAGUUGGUGGGGUAAAGGCCUACCAAGGCGACGAUCAGUAGCUGGUCUGAGAGGACGACCAGCCACACUGGGACUGAGACACGGCCCAGACUCCUACGGGAGGCAGCGGUGGGGAAUUUUGGACAAUGGGCGAAAGCCUGAUCCAGCAAUGCCGCGUGUGUGAAGAAGGCCUUCGGGUUGUAAAGCACUUUUGUCCGGAAAGAAAUCCUUGGCUCUAAUACAGUCGGGGGAUGACGGUACCGGAAGAAUAAGCACCGGCUAACUACGUG